This 73-nucleotide transfer RNA is filed under the name Lablab purpureus (hyacinth bean). RNAcentral describes it as "tRNA-Glu". The record is from RNAcentral. Lineage: Eukaryota; Viridiplantae; Streptophyta; Magnoliopsida; Fabales; Fabaceae.
UCUACUUAUCGAAUCUUAGUAUUAGUAAUAAAUGACAGAAAUGAAAUUUUAACCUCCCGUCCUUUGCAACAAA